UUGCUUUGUCAUCCUGCACAUCUUCUAUUAAAAGCCUUCAUUACAGAAAUGAUGUAAUGCUCACUUCUGAGUGUCUUACGGAGUCAGGAAGCCCUGGAGGAAGGGCAGACACAUCUGAGAGAAGGAGGAUGGAAAUCAGUGUGGACAAAGUGCAAGGGUUGAGUCCAGCUGCAGAGUUCGGGGGAGUUCUAUGGUUGAGUGAGACACGUAUGCUACUGAGAAGAGCCUGUGACAGCCCGGAUAACCUUCAGAAGCCCUUUCUGAGAACAGAGGGAUGGGCCUCUGCACAUCACAGACCCAUCACCGCAAAAGGCAAUUGAAAGCCGGAUUUCAGGGCACCACAUACCUUGUUGCUGAGGUUCAUUAGAUGCCCUCUUUCUUAGGGUUUCCACAGGAGCCUUUCUUCCUCAGCCCUGUGUUCCAGGGGCCUCCUCCGGGAUGAUUUUUAAUAUCUUUGCCAAAUUAAAUAUGAGCCACCUAAUUACAAUGGGGACACCCUGCCCUUGGAUGAACAAACUCGAGCUAUAGAAGAAAUGUUGCAUCAGCAUCGCAUCCUCCCUGAACUUUGAAAAGGAGGGAACUAGAAGCCGCGUCUGCUUCUGCUCAGGAUGGAUCCAUCAGCCCCAGUGACUGCUGUGAGAGAGCUCAAGGUGCUGCCCCAAGUUCCUUACGGAAAACAGAGUGCCAAGCCCACCAAGAAUGCAGCUGAUAGCCCUGCAUGACUGUGGCCUCUCCUGUCACUCUGUAAAGGGAGCCAGGGAAGCAGGCCUGAGGCUGGCAUGCAACUCAUUGGUGGCUAAGGCCAUGGUCAGCAUGAGAAGGAGCUGAACACUGUUUCUAGAACUGCAUCUGGACCAGACCCCCUUUAGAAGGGUGUGCUACAGAGUCCAUAGGCCCUGAGUGGUCCAGGCAGUGGCUAGAGGGGCUGGAUCCUCUCCAUAGGAAACCCCCUCAUAGCUGGCAAAAGAAAUGGGUGAAGUGCUUAUCUCUACCCAUGGUGGUGUCCUAGGGACCCAGGGACCCUGCUUUUGAAGACUCUGAGUACUCCAGAGUCCAAGAGAGGAAGUGACAGAGAACAUCAGAAAGAAUCUUCCGUGAGUGAAUAUGGUGCAGGCUAUGUGUCUAGAUGGAAAUCUGGACCCCUCAGAGUUGUUACUGAUUGAUGCCUCUUUCUUCUAACAGUUGAGGGUUAACAGAGGUCCUUGCCACAGACUCGGUGUGGCCUCUGUCUUGUGAGAGUUCUAAGAAUCUGUCUGUCAUCCCUACUCUAUGUCGUGUCUGGGAACCACAAGUUUUGUGGGAAGAGGGGUGAGAAGGAGAGAUGAAGACUCAGAGGUGAUGGCUUCCUGGGGGUAACACUGGGUGAGAAUUACAAGGGGGUUUGUUAGAGGUGAGGCUGACCCAGAAUCUCAACAGCAUGGAAAGAGGGGGCGUGCCCCAGAUCAGUAGUCUCUGGGUACCCCCAUCAGAGCAGUCACCCUCCAGCCUUGAAGGCAGCCUGAUCCUGGUGGGGUCUAAAGCUUUCUCUCAACUGUGUUGGGACUUGUCUGGGAAAAGUCUUCCUUCAGUGUUACCUCUUAAAAACAACUCUGUUGAGAUAGCAUUCACAUCCCACGCAGCCCACCCACCCAUGGUGUGGAGUCUGGUGGUUUGAAGAAAUUCACCAAUACCAACACCACCACAGCCAUUUGUAGAACAUUUAACAUCACCCCCAAGAACAGCUCUGGGCAGCAACGAAUCUACUUUGUGUCUCAUGUUCCCAGGUCUGGAAGUUUCACAGGGAUGGCAUCCGUGGUCCGUGCCAGUUCCUCCCCCAUGUGGAGUUUUCUUUGGACACAGUAAGCACUAACUGUGCCCGACUGGUUUGCUUUCAGUGAGCCCUUGAGUUCUAAUAACUGUUAGGCAUAUUUGGGAUAGGAAUGUAACUCAAUAUCCAAAGCCCUGUGUCCUGUCUACAGUAACCCAAACACAUAGCUUGAAUGACAGUAUUGCUCAGAGGUCAGUGACAUGGGACAUCCUAAUACCUGGGCUUCCUGGCUUCAGGUGGGGGAGGAACCACCUCCAUGGGUGGAGAUAAGUACUUCACCCAUUUCUCUUGACUUCUUGGACACUUGCCACCCCCUCUGACAGUGGGGACAUCAUGUUCCCUUAGAAGAGCCAUUGGUACUGCAGUUCUCCUCCAGAGCCACCCAGCAUCUCCAUUGACUCCCCUCCAUCCUAAGCCUCCUUCUCUGGGAGGGGCAGUAAACUGACAACUACCCCACAUAGUGUUGAAGAGAUUCAAUGCAACUGGGGCAUUUUGGCAGUCACAAGGGGGUAUGGUCCACACAGGCAAGAAGAAAAGAUAUAUUUGAAGGAAGUUGAGUUGAGGGGAGAGAUGUAUAAACAUCUGUGUGUAUGUGUGUCUAUGUGUGUGCAUGCACAUUACAUACAUGCGUGGAGGGCCAGAGGUGAACAUUCUCCACAUUAAUUCUUGAUAUAGGGUUCCUCACUGAACCCGAGCUCACAAAUUGGGUAGGCUAGCUGGCCAAUGGGCACUGGAGCUCCACCUGUCUCUGUGUUCCCACCCUUACCCUAGUGCUGGGGUUACAGAAGUGUGUUGCUCAGCCCAACUUUUAUGCACGUGCUGGGGAUCCAGAGUCAGGUCCCCAUCCUUGUGCAGCCAAGUCUUUACUGGCUGAGUCAUCUUCCAAGCCCAAGAUGUUUAAGCAUUGUAAAUGUCCGAGAUGCAAAGCAUUCUUCUUUGUUGCUGUGAUAAAACACUCAACCAAAAGCAACCUAAGAGAAUUUGCUCACAGCCAAGGAAGUACAGCAGAAACCAUGGAGGAUGCUACUUGCUAGCUGACUUACAGGCUCACACUUAGCUAGAUUUCUUAUAUAGCCUAGAGCUGCCUGCCCAGAGAAGGAUGCCAUGCCCACAAUGGGAUGGGCUCAGGAAAGGAGGACCCUGACCUAGUCCACUGUGAACACAAGCCAGUCCAGGAUGAUUAGACUCAACAUAGUCUAGAUCCAGGCUCCAUGUGGCAGGCUGGGAGAAGAAACUGGGUCACAGUCAGCAUGAAUCCUUUUGGACUAUAGGCUCUGAGAGCAUCUUCAUGAUGUAACCACAGGCUUUCAUGUUAAUGGCAGGAAGCCCCAUCUGCCUUGACACUGCUUCAAAGAACCAUUCCCUCUCCCUCUGUGAGAUCAGCAAAUGUGUCCCCAGGGGCCUCUGAGUCUGGAAAUCAGGAGGCUGAGAACUGAAAGAACCACAAGACCAAGGGACCAGCAGGAAGGCCAGGAGAGAACUUGACCCCAGGAUGAAGAAGGACCGCAUUCAGGAUCUUCACUCAAGAUUGGAAGGAUACCUCAGGAGCCUCCUCCAAGUACCCAGGUGGGUCUUUCUGGGGACAGACAUCUGUGUCAGCAGUGUGGGUGUCUGCGGAAGCCCGUGAGUAGGGUGAGGGAUGCACUGUCCAGAACAGCAUGUAUUUUCCUUCAGAAGGGAGUACGUCUCGGCCAGAACUGGGUCUGUGUUACCUGCCAGGCAGGCUGGGAACAGCGGGCCCACCAGUUCACUCAGCUGUAACCUCAGCAGCCAGGACUCUAGGCUUCAGAUCCAAUUCUGUCUGGUAAAAUUGGAGCUCUCCUUACACUAAAUGGGCUCCUUGAUCUGAUUCCAUGAUCAUCAUGAAAUCAGCGCUAUCCAGAGCCCACUCUGAGGUCCUGGAAAUUAAUUUAGCUAUUUCUUGAGCAAGCUCAGCAUUCCCACACUGACAGCCCAGCUUUCAAAUGCACUGGCUGCUGCUCUCGGGAGCAAGGGAGGGAGGCCAAGAUGUCAUCUCUGGCAUGCUGGAGAACACAGGACCCAGUCAAUGCCAGUGAGGCCAUUGGCUUUCUACUUGAUGGGUGCAUCACUAGGCCCAGCAAGGCAGACUCUACCUCACUCAGAGGAGGGGUGCAGAAGUAGCCUCCCUAGCCAGGGUCUCCUAUGGGGGAAUGUGCGGUUACAGAGAGGUCUCAGAGUUUGGACACAGGAAGGGCAGACAGUUCCCAGCCUUUGCCUCUUCCUUUUCUCAUAAUCCCCCACUUUGGACAUGAACAUUAUCACAUUGAAAACUAUCCACUGUGGACCAAGUGUGUUAAUAAUAAACAUGGAACUAGAGUAGACUGUCCUUUCUGGUCCUGCCUUCACUCAGUUUCUUUUAAAUGUUGUGGCCUCAGGGUAGUUUGGGGGAGUUUUUUCGCUUUUCUCUCAGGAAGUGUCUGUUUCAAACUGGAAUAUUUUGUUCCUUGCAAACUUGGUAUAACACGUCUCUGCAACCUGUGUGAGACAAAUAACACCUCCUACAGGUUCCUAGCUGGAAGGGACCCUGUGACAAAAGACAGCUGAACCAGAGAAAAGUGCACAGAAGCUUAGUGACGUGUGUGUUUCGUGAGCACACAGACACACUAGGAAAUACACAGCUUUCAGGAUGGGCCUUGUAUUGCAGCUUGUGUAGCUUCCUCAGUAAAGAUCUGCGAGCCUGGGAGAGGUGACAAGGCAAGGAACACUCAGGGUCUCUAGAGUGGGUGCUGUCGGGCAAGACAAGUGCCUAGCAACGGAUAAAAAUGGAUGUUCUCUCAGCCAUGUUAAAGCCAGUCAGCACGAACCCCUCCAGGUCUCCCUGGAGGCUUCAGGGAGUAUGUUGUCAGCUUUCACCUCCCAGGGACAGGGGUGGUGGCAGGUCCCUUUGAUCUGUAAACCUGGGCCCUGCUUUUUGGUGAGCAGAGGGAGGCAAAGCCCUUGCACCUGAUGCUUCUCGACCUUGGCACUUAGCGGUGUUCUGCAAUUGUCAGCUGGGUUUUCUUAUGCGGAGAUAAUAAUGGCUAUAGAACUCUCAGGUCAACCCUCUCCUCUUGAAUCAAUAUUUAAGUCAUUAUUUUCUAGGAAGUGAUUUGCUUUCCAUACUUGAACAUCUCGUUCAUUUUGAAGGAGACUUCAAAUUGACUGGUUUGUGGUCUUUUUAUCCUUUAAAACUGCUGUACACAUCAGCUGACUUCCUCAUUUUCGUCCUAGCAGUCACGGCCUUCCCUCUCAUGAGCGCUGUGGACGACACUUCAGUCAACUCUCUUUCCUGGGGCUUCUGGAUUGGGCCUUAUUUGAUGACUAAUUUUAGCUCAUGCCUUUAUCUUUUUUCUCCCAGUGACAUUGCCCUUAGCCUCCUCUUCUUCCUCUCAUUGAGGUUGGAUAUUUAGCUCAUUGAUUUUCAUUCUUUCCUUCUCUUAAGGCUACAGUUUCCAGGUACCAUUACUUUAGUCUAUGUAAUGAUAACAGAAUACCUCAGGCUGGGUAAUUUAUAAAGGUAAAAAAUAUUCCUCAGUCUUGAGCCUGGAAAGUUCAGAAGAAUGGUGCUGGCAUCUGGCAAGAGCCUCCAGAUGUGUCCUGAUGUGGUGGAGGGACAAGAUACACAGAGAGGGUUGGACCCAUCCUCCUAUCAGGACCCCACUCCAGGGAAACAAACCUGGUCCCUCAUUAAUUACUCUUGAAAGCAGGGCCCUCAUUCUUGGUCAUUGGGGUUUAUUGUUAUUAUUACUUUUUAAGAUUUAUUCAUUUUAUUUUUAUAUAUGAGUGUUUUGCCUGCAUAUAUGUAUGUGCACUACAUGCAUGCCUGUUGUCCAAAGAAAUUAGAAGAGGAUAUCAGAUCCCCUGGAACUGGAGUUACAGAUGCCUGUGAGCCACCAUGUGUGUGCUGAAAACCAAAGUCAGCUCCUCUGCAAAAACAAAUACUCUUAACCACCGAACCACGGCUCCAGUUCCCUUGAUCACCGUUAAACUCACCUCUCAACACUUCAGACUGUAAUGGCAAUUGAAUUUCAGCUCAUUUGAUGUGUCUUGUUGUUAGUUAGUUAGUUUGUUUGCUUAUUGGUUGAGACAAGAUCUCACUAUGUGUCCCACGAUGGUUUCAAAUUCAUGGUAAUCCUCCUGCUUCACCCUCUUGAGUGCUAGGAUUUCAAGUGUAAGCCACAACACCCAGUUUACCAGUUUUAAGGAUUUCUAAUGUUUAUUUUGCAUCAUUCCUUAAUUUGUGUGCCAUUUAGAACUGUCUGUUUUAUUUUUCCAAAUAAAUGAUGAUUUGUAAAGGUUA
This is a long non-coding RNA of Peromyscus californicus insignis, 6107 nucleotides long. RefSeq lists it as uncharacterized. The record is from RefSeq and is a predicted model, not a curated record. The transcript is spliced from 3 exons. Lineage: Eukaryota; Metazoa; Chordata; Mammalia; Rodentia; Cricetidae.